Molecule: ribosomal RNA, 515 nt
Filed under: Hydrotaea ignava
Lineage: Eukaryota; Metazoa; Arthropoda; Insecta; Diptera; Muscidae
Description: partial 16S ribosomal RNA
Rfam family: Bacterial large subunit ribosomal RNA (bases 386-515)
Source: RNAcentral
GUCUUUUUGAAUUUAAUUUAAAGUCUAACCUGCCCACUGAAAUUUUUAAAUGGCCGCAGUAUACUAACUGUGCAAAGGUAGCAUAAUCAUUAGUCUUUUAAUUGAAGGCUGGUAUGAAUGGUUGGACGAAAUAUUAACUGUUUCAUAAAUAUUUAUAUUAGAAUUUUAUUUUUUAGUUAAAAAGCUAAAAUUUAUUUAAAAGACGAGAAGACCCUAUAAAUCUUUAUAUUUAAAUUAUUAUAAUUUUGUAGAAUUUUUUUAUUUUAAUAAUUAAUAAUAUUUUAUUGGGGUGAUAUUAAAAUUUAAUAAACUUUUAAUUUUUUUUAUCAUUAAUUAAUGAAUAAUUGAUCCGUUAUUAACGAUUAAAAAUUUAAGUUACUUUAGGGAUAACAGCGUAAUUUUUUUGGAGAGUUCAUAUCGAUAAAAAAGAUUGCGACCUCGAUGUUGGAUUAAGAUAUAAUUUUAGGUGUAGCCGCUUAAAUUUUAAGUCUGUUCGACUUUUAAAUUCUUACGUG